UACGGGGGGGGCAAGCGUUGUUCGGAAUUACUGGGCGUAAAGGGCUCGUAGGCGGCCAACUAAGUCAGACGUGAAAUCCCUCGGCUUAACCGGGGAACUGCGUCUGAUACUGGAUGGCUUGAGUUUGGGAGAGGGAUGCGGAAUUCCAGGUGUAGCGGUGAAAUGCGUAGAUAUCGGGAAGAACACUCGUGGCGAAGGCGGCUCUCUGGGACGGUACUGACGCUGAGACGCGAAAGCGUGGGGAGCGAACAGG
RNAcentral lists this ribosomal RNA (253 nucleotides) under uncultured bacterium. Its description in RNAcentral is "partial 16S ribosomal RNA". It matches the Rfam family "Bacterial small subunit ribosomal RNA", at positions 524 to 776 of the family's 1533-position model. The record is from RNAcentral.